RNAcentral lists this ribosomal RNA (491 nucleotides) under uncultured bacterium. Its description in RNAcentral is "partial 16S ribosomal RNA". It matches the Rfam family "Bacterial small subunit ribosomal RNA", at positions 29 to 507 of the family's 1533-position model. The record is from RNAcentral.
AGUGAACGCUGGCGGUAGCCUAACACAUGCCAGUCGAACGGCAGCACAGUAAGAGCUUGCUCUUACGGGUGGCGAGUGGCGGACGGGUGAGGAAUACAUCGGAAUCUACUUUUUCGUGGGGGAUAACGUAGGGAAACUUACGCUAAUACCGCAUACGACCUACGGGUGAAAGCAGGGGAUCUUCGGACCUUGCGCGAUUGAAUGAGCCGAUGUCGGAUUAGCUAGUUGGCGGGGUAAAGGCCCACCAAGGCGACGAUCCGUAGCUGGUCUGAGAGGAUGAUCAGCCACACUGGAACUGAGACACGGUCCAGACUCCUACGGGAGGCAGCAGUGGGGAAUAUUGGACAAUGGGCGCAAGCCUGAUCCAGCCAUACCGCGUGGGUGAAGAAGGCCUUCGGGUUGUAAAGCCCUUUUGUUGGGAAAGAAAAGCAGCAGGUUAAUACCCCGCUGUUCUGACGGUACCCAAAGAAUAAGCACCGGCUAACUUCGUG